Long non-coding RNA from Saccostrea cuccullata (small rock oyster), 281 nucleotides. RefSeq lists it as uncharacterized. The transcript has 2 exons. Lineage: Eukaryota; Metazoa; Mollusca; Bivalvia; Ostreida; Ostreidae. The record is from RefSeq and is a predicted model, not a curated record.
CAGUUGUGUUUAUCGCUGUGUUGCUGCUGCUGGUUUCUUUGGAAUGGUGCUCAUCGCCUAUACACGUAGAAGCUUGUUGUUGGGGCAAGAAAAAAAACGGUAAAGACAAAGCCAAGGUUACCAGGAAUGAACAGUUAGAGAAAGAGACAUCGGCAGAGAUUUCAAAAGGAGGAUCUAAAGUACAUUGAGUACCUCAAUGCUGAAUGGUCUUGACCUGAUCUGCAGAAAUGAUUAUUGAAAACUUAAAAUCUAGAAUUAUUAAUAAAUAUUUAUGCAUUUGA